GUUAAGUCAGAUGUGAAAGCCCAGGGCUCAACCUUGGAACUGCAUUUGAUACUGGCAAACUUGAGUACGGUAGAGGAAUGGGGAAUUUCUGGUGUAGCGGUGAAAUGCGUAGAGAUCAGAAGGAACACCAUUGGCGAAGGCAACAUUCUGGACCGAUACUGACACUGAGGGACGAAAGCGUGGGGAUCUAACAGGAUUAGAUACCCUGGUAGUCCACGCUGUAAACGAUGAGUACUAGCUGUUGGAGUCGG
This 251-nucleotide ribosomal RNA is filed under the name Francisella tularensis subsp. holarctica. RNAcentral's name for it is "partial 16S ribosomal RNA". It matches the Rfam family "Bacterial small subunit ribosomal RNA", at positions 582 to 832 of the family's 1533-position model. The record is from RNAcentral. Lineage: Bacteria; Pseudomonadati; Pseudomonadota; Gammaproteobacteria; Thiotrichales; Francisellaceae.